CUCGCUUCCUCUGCAAGUAGGCCCACCACUGAACGACCACCUCCCACGUUAUCUUAUCUCUUCAGGAACAACGCCAACCGCUCAUAGCGCAUCUCGUCUACAUCGCAACCUCCGAUCUUUCCCUUUUCUUUCUCUCUGUAGAUGCUCGCGCCUCCCCCACCGGCAACUGGCUGUGCCGCCAGCCAUGGCCAUCGCGCCUCCCCCACCGGCGACUGGCUGUGCCGCCAACCAUGGCCACCGCGCUUCCCCACCGUGGCUGCCCCCACCCCGCCCCCUCACUCCCCACCAGUGACUAGUGCUGCCAACCAAUCCCCACCAGCGCUGCCGAUGGCGGCGACAAGUGAUGGAGAGCCGCGGCGGCCGGCGUUGGAGCGUUGCAACCACGGCGACAAGUGAUGGAGAUCCGGCCUUUCUUUUCUUGGAAGCAGCCCCAGUUUUUGCUACCAACGCCCUUGCCUUUUGCUGGAACUAGUACACGGCGGUACAAGUUAACAACAGCAGCGAGCCGGAGACGGGGGCGGCGAGCCGGAGACGGGGUCGUGGGGGACGCUGCAACCAUGAAUGACAGCGCGCUGGACCCUCCUGUGUGUGAGUUGCGACCAUGGCAAGCGGAGGCAGCCGAGGCAAGUGCCGUGCACGAGCGACGGGCGAGCGGCAAGCGAGCGCGGGUGACGGGCGCAGUGGCAAGUGUGGCAAGCAAGCACGGGAAGACGAGGAGAAGCGCGGGCGGCCGGCGAGCCUCAGGAUCUGGCAUAUGCGCACAAUGCCUUUUUUUCCUUGUUUCCUGUGCGUUUUGACUUUUGAAAUGAAGUAAUCCGAUGGUUGGGAAA
Molecule: non-coding RNA, 830 nt
Organism: Aegilops tauschii subsp. strangulata
Lineage: Eukaryota; Viridiplantae; Streptophyta; Magnoliopsida; Poales; Poaceae
Source: RefSeq, a predicted model, not a curated record